Molecule: long non-coding RNA, 733 nt
Filed under: Ananas comosus (pineapple)
Lineage: Eukaryota; Viridiplantae; Streptophyta; Magnoliopsida; Poales; Bromeliaceae
Description: long non-coding RNA (ACOM_LNC018049)
Source: RNAcentral
UACUCUUAAUGCUCAAUAUUUGGUUAUAGGAACUAAAUUAAUAUCGGUUUCUGUCUGUUAUAUAGUUCAUAGCCAACAUUGUUAUCUACUUACUUGGCCUCUUUAUUCUUAUAUUGUUUGCGUUAUCAAUUCUGGGAUCAACAAAUAUUGAAAAACUAAUUUUAUUUUUUUUUUAUUUGCAGAUUUAUAAGAGGUGGUGACAAGAAAUAUUUUGGCAGGUCAUUAGCGAUGUAUUGAAUCAAGUUUAAGAAUUUAGAAAUAUUUUGAAAACUUUACAUUUGAUAGCAUGUGGAAAUGACAAAAACACUAUUAUUGUGUUUUGUUUUUUGGUUGUGUUAGGUGAUUGUAUUACUUAUAUAUGAUGAUUCAGUCUUACUUAUAUAUGUUGUCCCAAACUUGUGAGAGACAAUUCGAUGCAAAAUGUAGGAUUUCUACUUCUUGAUCUGUGGUUUGUUUGGAAAGCUUUCUGUCAUAUUUAUGAGAAUUGGCUCUCUUUGUCCCAAAUUUUAUUUGGUUUUGAGACGAUUAGAUUGAAAUUAAAGGUUAAAAUUUAAAAAUAUAAAAUUUUAUAACUAUAGGUUAUUUUUUAGCAAUUUAUACUAAAUCAAUAAUAUUUUUUACUACCAAUUAUUUUUUUUAAAAAAAAAUUAAUUUUAUAUCAGAAAAAAUGAUGGUGACAAUAGUCGCCACCAUAAAACUAGUGAUAAAAUAGGCUGUAAAGUUUUCACGGCCG